UUUCUGCCACCGAAUACAUUAGCAUGGGAUAAUGGAAUAGGACCCUGUCCUCCUAUUUUCAGUUGGUUUUGGCAGCGCGAGGACUAGGGUAAUGAUUAAUAGGGAUAGUUGGGGGCAUUAAUAUUUAAUUGUCAGAGGUGAAAUUCUUGGAUUUAUGAAAGAUUAACUUCUGCGAAAGCAUCUGCCAAGGAUGUUUUCAUUAAUCAAGAACGAAAGUUAGGGGAUCGAAGACGAUCAGAUACCGUCGUAGUCUUAACCAUAAACGAUGCCGACCAGCGAUUAGGAGACGUUGAAUACAAAACACCACCAUCGGUGCGGUCGUCCUUGGCGUCGGUCUUUCGGGGCCGGCGCGGGGACGGCUUAGCCCGGUGGCACCGGUGAAUGACUCCCUA
RNAcentral lists this ribosomal RNA (392 nucleotides) under Acanthamoeba sp. MMN-2011/T4. Its description in RNAcentral is "SSU rRNA". The stretch from base 1 to 347 matches the Rfam family "Eukaryotic small subunit ribosomal RNA", at positions 786 to 1116 of the family's 1831-position model. The record is from RNAcentral. Lineage: Eukaryota; Discosea; Longamoebia; Acanthamoebidae.